CUACCUACGGGGGGCAGCAGUGGGGAAUAUUGCACAAUGGGGGAAACCCUGAUGCAGCGACGCCGCGUGAGUGAAGAAGUAUUUCGGUAUGUAAAGCUCUAUCAGCAGGGAAGAAAAUGACGGUACCUGACUAAGAAGCCCCGGCUAACUACGUGCCAGCAGCCGCGGUAAUACGUAGGGGGCGAGCGUUGUCCGGAAUCACUGGGCGUAAAGGGCGCGUAGGCGGUAAUAUAAGUCAGAUGUGAAAGGUGGGGGCUCAACCCCUAGAGUGCAACUGAUACUGUAUAACUUGAGUGUGAGAGAGG
RNAcentral lists this ribosomal RNA (305 nucleotides) under uncultured bacterium. RNAcentral's name for it is "bacterial SSU rRNA". It matches the Rfam family "Bacterial small subunit ribosomal RNA", at positions 335 to 657 of the family's 1533-position model. The record is from RNAcentral.